Molecule: unclassified non-coding RNA, 402 nt
Filed under: soil metagenome
Description: partial contains 5.8S ribosomal RNA, internal transcribed spacer 2, and large subunit ribosomal RNA
Rfam family: 5.8S ribosomal RNA (bases 1-121)
Source: RNAcentral
GAUGAAGAACGCAGCGAAAUGCGAUAAGUAAUGUGAAUUGCAGAAUUCAGUGAAUCAUCGAAUCUUUGAACGCACCUUGCGCCCUUUGGCUAUUCCGAAGGGCAUGCCUGUUUGAGUAUCGUGAACACCUCAACUCUCAUGGUUUGCCAUGAUGAGCUUGGACUUUGGGGGUUUUGCUGGCCUUUGGUCGGCUCCUCUCAAACGGAUCAGCUUUCCAGUGUUUGGUGGCGUCACGGGUGUGAUAACUAUCUACGCCUGUGGUUUUCUGCCAGAUAACCUUCAGCGAUGGAGGUUCGCUGGGGCUCAUCAAUGUCUCUCUUCAGUGGAGACAGCUUUUUGGACGUUUGAUCUCAAAUCAGGUAGGACUACCCGCUGAACUUAAGCAUAUCAAUAAGCGGAGGA